Molecule: ribosomal RNA, 909 nt
Filed under: Triticum aestivum (bread wheat)
Lineage: Eukaryota; Viridiplantae; Streptophyta; Magnoliopsida; Poales; Poaceae
Description: partial small subunit ribosomal RNA
Source: RNAcentral
AUGAGCAUAUUUGCGUUGCUCUUCUAUAGAAGCAUGUUCGGUGCUGUGUUCACCCUUCCCUUUGCUCUUUACUUUGAAAGUGGCAAGUGGAAGGAGGUGAAUACAAAAACUGUUGGGUGGCUCUUCUUAAACGCGCUUUCUGGGUACUCGUUACCAAUGGCGUUUUAUUACUACGGAUUGCGGAACACAGCAGCCUCAUAUGCGGUGAUUUUCUCGAGUAUCACCCCGCUAGUCACGUUUGUUCUCUCGAUAUUGAUCGGCAUAGAGCAGUUGAACAUCAAAUCAAAGAGUGGCAGUGCAAAAGUGCUUGGAGCACUUUUCUGUUUCACUGGGGCUUUACUUAUUAGUCUCUACACUGGAAAAGAGCUCCAUCGAGGGAGGCUGGUUAUAAGUGUGUCCCCUAAAGGUUCUAAUGCAGCUUCUGGAGAGAAUCAUUUGAGGGGCACACUACUAAUGUUGAGUUUUGGCCUCAGUUACGCAACUUGGUACCCUAUCCAGGUGAAAGUUCUGAAGGUCUGUCCGUGGAAGCAUUGGUCAUCUGUGCUGACCUGCAUUCUUGGCGGUGUGCAACCUCUUGUCGUUGGCAUAACAAUUACACGGGACAAAAGUGCCUGGCAGAUGAAAUGGAACAUCCAAUUGCUAACUAUCAUUUAUUCAGCUGCGCUUGGCACAGCAGUCAAGUACUGGCUCAACCUGUAUGCCGUCGAAAAGAAGGGACCGGUUUUCCCACCUAUGUUCAGCGUUCUAUCGACAGUCUUCACCAUAAUUUUGGGAAUAUUGUUGCUAGGAGAAAGUCUCACCCUUGGGAGUUUGCUGGGUACUGCUUUAGUAUUCGGUGGUCUUUACACAUAUCUUUAUGGCAAGGCAAAUGAAAAACACGCUGAGACGACGCCAGCUCCAGGUCUGUAA